UACGUAGGGUGCGAGCGUUAAUCGGAAUUACUGGGCGUAAAGCGUGCGCAGGCGGUUCGCCGUGUCCUGUGUGAAAGCCCCGGGCUUAACCUGGGAAUUGCAUGGGAAACUGGCGGGCUCGAGUGUGGCAGAGGGGGGUGGAAUUCCGCGUGUAGCAGUGAAAUGCGUAGAUAUGUGGAGGAACACCGAUGGCGAAGGCAGCCUCCUGGGCCAGUACUGACGCUCAUGCACGAAAGCGUGGGGAGCAAACAGG
This 253-nucleotide ribosomal RNA is filed under the name uncultured bacterium. Its description in RNAcentral is "partial 16S ribosomal RNA". It matches the Rfam family "Bacterial small subunit ribosomal RNA", at positions 524 to 776 of the family's 1533-position model. The record is from RNAcentral.